AUCGGGGCAGGGUGAGUCGACCCCUAAGGCGAGGCCGAAAGGCGUAGUCGAUGGGAAACAGGUUAAUAUUCCUGUACUUGGUGUUACUGCGAAGGGGGGACGGAGAAGGCUAUGUUAGCCGGGCGACGGUUGUCCCGGUUUAAGCAUGUAGGCUGGUUAUCCAGGCAAAUCCGGAUAAUCAAGGCUGAGGUGUGAUGACGAGGCACUACGGUGCUGAAGUAACAAAUGCCCUGCUUC
Molecule: ribosomal RNA, 237 nt
Filed under: Klebsiella quasipneumoniae
Lineage: Bacteria; Pseudomonadati; Pseudomonadota; Gammaproteobacteria; Enterobacterales; Enterobacteriaceae
Description: partial 23S ribosomal RNA
Rfam family: Bacterial large subunit ribosomal RNA
Source: RNAcentral